Molecule: long non-coding RNA, 606 nt
Filed under: Physcomitrium patens
Lineage: Eukaryota; Viridiplantae; Streptophyta; Bryopsida; Funariales; Funariaceae
Description: long non-coding RNA (PPAT_LNC013460)
Source: RNAcentral
AGAUUUCUUUGUUGGAAAUUUCUCCUGAAAAGUCAACCUCAAAACUUACCUUUUGAAUACUUUCUUAAUUUUUAAAAACAUGUAUAUAUUCUUUGACUUCAUGAUGGGGAGGUUUAUUGUUUAUCAUUAUUCAGUUCCAAAAGGCUCAUAUAACCCACAUGAAAUUGUUUUGCAUUGUAUUUUUUAUCCCAUGGGACAAAAGGCCAAUCUACAGAAGCAAUACUUUCUUAUGAGUGCCACAUGGGUCCAUAAAAAGUCACUUUAAGUCCCUCAGGGUGACUCAGAUAAUAGCUCAUUAUGAGCUUUGCUUGUCAUUGUCACAUCCAUUUAAAGCCAAUCCCUCCUUUUUACUUUCCUCUACGCUCCCUACAUCCACAAUGUCCCUAUAACCGUGACCUAUUUAUCGUCAUGUCCCUAACACCAUGCUCUGAGCCCUUCUACUUUUGUCCUGCACUGCCCUAUUUGUUACCCAAUCAGGAACUUCAAAAUUUAACAUGCAAAAAAUAAGUUGGGUCACACAGUAAGAUUUUUAUCUUUAUUUUUUAUUUUUUUAUUUUUUCCGCAUUCUGAACACAUUAGUCUUACUUAGCUUCUGGUGAAUGAUUU